UUAAAAUGAGAGUUUGAUCCUGGCUCAGGRCGAACGCUGGCGGCGUGCCUAAUACAUGCAAGUCGAGCGAGCGGAACUAACAGAUUUACUUCGGUAAUGACGUUAGGAAAGCGAGCGGCGGAUGGGUGAGUAACACGUGGGGAACCUGCCCCAUAGUCUGGGAUACCACUUGGAAACAGGUGCUAAUACCGGAUAAGAAAGCAGAUCGCAUGAUCAGCUUUUAAAAGGCGGCGUAAGCUGUCGCUAUGGGAUGGCCCCGCGGUGCAUUAGCUAGUUGGUAAGGUAAAGGCUUACCAAGGCGAUGAUGCAUAGCCGAGUUGAGAGACUGAUCGGCCACAUUGGGACUGAGACACGGCCCAAACUCCUACGGGAGGCAGCAGUAGGGAAUCUUCCACAAUGGACGCAAGUCUGAUGGAGCAACGCCGCGUGAGUGAAGAAGGUUUUCGGAUCGUAAAGCUCUGUUGUUGGUGAAGAAGGAUAGAGGUAGUAACUGGCCUUUAUUUGACGGUAAUCAACCAGAAAGUCACGGCUAACUACGUGCCAGCAGCCGCGGUAAUACGUAGGUGGCAAGCGUUGUCCGGAUUUAUUGGGCGUAAAGCGAGCGCAGGCGGAAGAAUAAGUCUGAUGUGAAAGCCCUCGGCUUAACCGAGGAACUGCAUCGGAAACUGUUUUUCUUGAGUGCAGAAGAGGAGAGUGGAACUCCAUGUGUAGCGGUGGAAUGCGUAGAUAUAUGGAAGAACACCAGUGGCGAAGGCGGCUCUCUGGUCUGCAACUGACGCUGAGGCUCGAAAGCAUGGGUAGCGAACAGGAUUAGAUACCCUGGUAGUCCAUGCCGUAAACGAUGAGUGCUAAGUGUUGGGAGGUUUCCGYCUCUCAGUGCUGCAGCUAACGCAUUAAGCACUCCGCCUGGGGAGUACGACCGCAAGGUUGAAACUCAAAGGAAUUGACGGGGGCCCGCACAAGCGGUGGAGCAUGUGGUUUAAUUCGAAGCAACGCGAAGAACCUUACCAGGUCUUGACAUCUAGUGCCAUUUGUAGAGAUACAAAGUUCCCUUCGGGGACGCUAAGACAGGUGGUGCAUGGCUGUCGUCAGCUCGUGUCGUGAGAUGUUGGGUUAAGUCCCGCAACGAGCGCAACCCUUGUUAUUAGUUGCCAGCAUUAAGUUGGGCACUCUAAUGAGACUGCCGGUGACAAACCGGAGGAAGGUGGGGAUGACGUCAAGUCAUCAUGCCCCUUAUGACCUGGGCUACACACGUGCUACAAUGGGCAGUACAACGAGAAGCGAGCCUGCGAAGGCAAGCGAAUCUCUGAAAGCUGUUCUCAGUUCGGACUGCAGUCUGCAACUCGACUGCACGAAGCUGGAAUCGCUAGUAAUCGCGGAUCAGCACGCCGCGGUGAAUACGUUCCCGGGCCUUGUACACACCGCCCGUCACACCAUGGGAGUCUGCAAUGCCCAAAGCCGGUGGCCUAACCUUCGGGAAGGAGCCGUCUAAGGCAGGGCAGAUGACUGGGGUGAAGUCGUAACAAGGUAGCCGUAGGAGAACCUGCGGCUGGAUCACCUCCUUUCUAAGGAA
Molecule: ribosomal RNA, 1573 nt
Filed under: Lactobacillus crispatus
Lineage: Bacteria; Bacillati; Bacillota; Bacilli; Lactobacillales; Lactobacillaceae
Description: bacterial SSU rRNA
Source: RNAcentral